This 603-nucleotide ribosomal RNA is filed under the name uncultured bacterium. RNAcentral's name for it is "bacterial SSU rRNA". It matches the Rfam family "Bacterial small subunit ribosomal RNA", at positions 8 to 608 of the family's 1533-position model. The record is from RNAcentral.
AGAGUUUGAUCCUGGCUCAGAUUGAACGCUGGCGGCAUGCCUUACACAUGCAAGUCGAACGGUAACGCGGGGCAACCUGGCGACGAGUGGCGAACGGGUGAGUAAUGCAUCGGAACGUGCCCAGUAGUGGGGGAUAGCCCGGCGAAAGCCGGAUUAAUACCGCAUACGACCUACGGGUGAAAGCGGGGGAUCGCAAGACCUCGCGCUAUUGGAGCGGCCGAUGUCAGAUUAGGUUGUUGGUGGGGUAAAAGCCUACCAAGCCGACGAUCUGUAGCUGGUCUGAGAGGACGACCAGCCACACUGGGACUGAGACACGGCCCAGACUCCUACGGGAGGCAGCAGUGGGGAAUUUUGGACAAUGGGGGCAACCCUGAUCCAGCCAUGCCGCGUGCGGGAAGAAGGCCUUCGGGUUGUAAACCGCUUUUGUCAGGGAAGAAACGCUUUGAGCUAAUACCUCGAGGUAAUGACGGUACCUGAAGAAUAAGCACCGGCUAACUACGUGCCAGCAGCCGCGGUAAUACGUAGGGUGCAAGCGUUAAUCGGAAUUACUGGGCGUAAAGCGUGCGCAGGCGGUCGUGCAAGACAGAUGUGAAAUCCCCGGGC